Molecule: ribosomal RNA, 495 nt
Filed under: uncultured bacterium
Lineage: Bacteria
Description: partial 16S ribosomal RNA
Rfam family: Bacterial small subunit ribosomal RNA
Source: RNAcentral
GACGAACGCUGGCGGCGUGCCUAAUACAUGCAAGUAGAACGCUGAAGGAGGAGCUUGCUUCUCUGGAUGAGUUGCGAACGGGUGAGUAACGCGUAGGUAACCUGCCUGGUAGCGGGGGAUAACUAUUGGAAACGAUAGCUAAUACCGCAUAACAGUAGAUAUCGCAUGAUAUCUACUUGAAAGGUGCAAUUGCAUCACUACCAGAUGGACCUGCGUUGUAUUAGCUAGUUGGUGAGGUAACGGCUCACCAAGGCGACGAUACAUAGCCGACCUGAGAGGGUGAUCGGCCACACUGGGACUGAGACACGGCCCAGACUCCUACGGGAGGCAGCAGUAGGGAAUCUUCGGCAAUGGACGGAAGUCUGACCGAGCAACGCCGCGUGAGUGAAGAAGGUUUUCGGAUCGUAAAGCUCUGUUGUAAGAGAAGAACGAGUGUGAGUGUGGAAAGUUCACACUGUGACGGUAUCUUACCAGAAAGGGACGGCUAACUACGUG